UAUGCAUUCUCGCAUUGCUCA
This 21-nucleotide non-coding RNA is filed under the name Caenorhabditis elegans. The record is from RNAcentral. Lineage: Eukaryota; Metazoa; Nematoda; Chromadorea; Rhabditida; Rhabditidae.